This 253-nucleotide ribosomal RNA is filed under the name uncultured bacterium. Its description in RNAcentral is "partial 16S ribosomal RNA". It matches the Rfam family "Bacterial small subunit ribosomal RNA", at positions 524 to 776 of the family's 1533-position model. The record is from RNAcentral.
UACGUAGGGUGCGAGCGUUGUCCGGAAUUAUUGGGCGUAAAGGGCUCGUAGGCGGUUUGUCGCGUCGGGAGUGAAAACCCAGGGCUUAACCCUGGGCUGGCUUUCGAUACGGGCAGACUAGAGGUAUGCAGGGGAGAACGGAAUUCCUGGUGUAGCGGUGAAAUGCGCAGAUAUCAGGAGGAACACCGGUGGCGAAGGCGGUUCUCUGGGCAUUACCUGACGCUGAGGAGCGAAAGCGUGGGGAGCGAACAGG